This 27-nucleotide non-coding RNA is filed under the name Mus musculus (house mouse). The record is from RNAcentral. Lineage: Eukaryota; Metazoa; Chordata; Mammalia; Rodentia; Muridae.
GGCUAAAGCAUUGCCUGUUAAAUUUGA